Ictalurus punctatus (channel catfish) is the source of this 2640-nucleotide long non-coding RNA. Lineage: Eukaryota; Metazoa; Chordata; Actinopteri; Siluriformes; Ictaluridae. The record is from Ensembl.
GUGAAUUGAGGAGUUGCCGUGAAUUGGAAUGUCGGUGUGAGAGACUCGUCGGUUACUGAGGCGACUCGGGGACGUCAGAAAUAAUAAUGGUGGUUGUGAAUCUUUUUCAGUGUGAGUCCCCCUCGUAUACGGAGAUCUCUUUUUUUACGGCAAAUUUUUGCAGUGUUUUAUUUUUUUUAGACUCUUCUCUAUGAAUUUCCUCAGAUAAGAGCCUACGUCCUCUCUCUAAAACUUCUUUUAAAGAGUCUCGGGUUUCGUCAGCGUGUGGCGAACAGUACGGUACACUGGUGUGGUCGCCGGACGUCUCUGCUCGGUGUGCGUCUUAGUGUGCUGUGUACUAAUGAUUCUCAUUUUUAUUUACAUCAUAGUGUAAAGCGCGAAAAAAAAAAAAAAUAACAGCGUUGUAGAUUUUCUGUGGCCCCCCCCCCCCAGUUUGAGAACCAGCGCUCCAGAGCACGUAUUGUGUAAAUACUGUGUGAAAUAGUUGUGUAGUUAUCGUGAAGUAUAAACACAAAGCCGCUCGGUCUAUCGUAGGCUCCAGGCUGCUAAACUCAGGCACUUAUUUGGCUGUAAUUUCCUCUGAUGGUUUUUUUCUCUCUCUCUCUUUUUUUAUUUUUUUAUAGCUGACAGAAUUAGCACACAAGUUUUUUUUUUUUUUUUUUUUUUUUUUUUUACCCAUGAUGCUCCAGUGACUGAACAUGUUGCUUUUGAGAAGUAGACUACAUUAAUACACACUGAUGUUCCCCUUCUAAUGCACCGAGUAUACUCUGUAGGGGGAACAUCAGGUUCCUGUCUCAUCCACAUGCAAACAUCACUUCCCGCGUGUGUGUGUGUGUGUGUGUGUGUGUGUGUGUGUGUGAGAGAGAGAGAGAGAGAGUGAUCGCAUUCUCUUUUCUCUUUUACAAACACCUGUCCUGUAGAGGAACCAGCAGGUCGAUAACAUCGGCAGGAAGUGGUGCAGUGUCUGCACUUUAUCUCUGGUGCACUUCAUUAAGGCGGUCUCUGAGACUGCACACGCGUCGGGUUAACGAAUAAAACACUCCACUCGUGUGAGUAAAGAUGUGCUGAUGGGUUUUUUUUGGCCUUCAUCUCUGGAGGGAAAGUGCUGCAGUCUGUCCAGAGAGCCCGUGACGCUGUUUCCCAGCGCCUGCGACGAAGACUCUGUCGAACAUCGCAGCGCCGUCGAAUUCCCCUUUCCGAUUGGUCCGAGGGUGUCGGUUCGUUUUCUCUAACAGCGGCUCUGACUGUAGCGUGGCUGUAAUUCCAACCGCAGGGGGAUCUUAACGCUCUCGUUACACGGGACAAAUAAACCGAUGGGAAUAAACGCGUCGGUGACGUUGUCUCCGAGGAGACGUUUAACAUUUAAGGAGUCUCCAGGGUCUUGAAGUUUUCACGCGGCGAUUCUCGGUAACAUCGGGCGGGGUGAUGGGACACAAGUAUCUUUUCAAGGACGCUUCUACGAUACGCGACGUGUACGUCACUGAUUGUCGUUUUUGGUCUGAUCGGGGUUUUUCUUCACAGAUCUCACAAAGUUUCUGUCAUCAGGCGGUGGUGUUUUCCUUGUCCGACCCGUUCGGUGUCUCUCUCGGUACACCAGGGGUUUCUUUCUCAUUCAGGACGUUCCAAAUCGUUGUGUUGGCUACAUCCAGUGUUUGUUUUCAGCUUCAGCUUAAACGGCGUUCUUGUUCUCCCAUUGACAGCUCUCUGAUCUUCGUGUUGGUUUAUCCUUUUUAACAACCAACGCCGUCUACACAGGCGAAACGGAAGGCUACAACCAAUUUAGAGCUGUUUAUUGUUUGAACAGGACACACCUGGGUCACAAGAAACCCCUGUCAAAUCAGGUGGUCCGAUCCAAAAAUGUGUUCUGUUUCUGUGUGGUUUAACACGUCUACACCAGGAAAUGGAAGCUGAAAUGCCCAACUCUGUUUUCUCAUAUUCGUCUUUCGAUUUCAAACCCAAAACGUCUUCGGUCUGCAGCACAGACAAUGCACUGGCCGUUCCAAUAGUUUCGGAGGCAGCUGUACACAAUUUCUGCAUUUUGUCGUUGGUUUUUUCCCCCCUCUUUACUUGUGCACUGGAGUCGCAAGGCAAAUGUAGAGAAGUCCAAACUUUAUCACAGUCAGUUUUGUUAUAUUUAGCUUUGUCUCGGACUUCCCUGCGCACUUUAUUGGGGUUUUUUAACGUUUCAGUCAAAUUAGCCAGGGUCACUUCUCAGAAAUGUCUGAUGACAUGGCGCUAGAGCAGAUGUGGAUUCUGGUCAGGGAAAAACCCGGUUUAUUUUCUGGGACGGGUUCAGGAGGUGUUGGAUUUCUCAACGCACAUCUGCUCUUUCUGCAGUUCCCCAUACAGACACCACUGAUCAUCAGUGUACUAACUGCCAUGACUCAAUGACACUAAAACACAUUUAAUGCUCUCUCUUUCUCUUCUCUCUCUCUUCUGUCUCUCUUCUCACUCCUCUCUUCUCUUCUCUCUCUCUCCUCUUUCUCUCUCUCUCUCCUUUCUUCCCUCUCUCCUCUCUCUCUCCUUCUUCUCUCUCUCCUUCUUCUCUCUCUCUCCUAUCUCCCCUCUCUCUCUCUCCUUUCUUCCCUCUCUCCUCUCUCUCUCUGUCUCUCUCUCUCUCUCUCCUCUUUCUCUCUCCUC